ACGGAAGGCAGCAGUGGGGAAUAUUGGGCAAUGGGCGCAAGCCUGACCCAGCAACGCCGCGUGAAGGAAGAAGGCUUUCGGGUUGUAAACUUCUUUUGUCAGGGAAGAGUAGAAGACUGUACCUGGCGAAUAAGCCACGGCUAACUACGUGCUAGCAGCCGCGGUAAUACGUAGGUGGCAAGCGUUGUCCGGAUUUACUGGGUGUAAAGGGCGUGUAGCCGGGUCGGUAAGUCAUAUGUGAAAUCCACGGGCUCAACUCGUGAACUGCAGUUGAAACUGCUUAUCUUGAGUAUCGGAGAGGCAAUCGGAAUUCCUUGUGUAGCGGUGAAAUGCGUAGAUAUAAGGAGGAACACCAGUGGCGAAGGCGGAUUGCUGGACAGUAACUGACGGUGAGGCGCGAAAGUGUGGGUAGCAAACAGGAUUAGAUACCCUGGUA
RNAcentral lists this ribosomal RNA (436 nucleotides) under uncultured Oscillibacter sp. RNAcentral's name for it is "bacterial SSU rRNA". It matches the Rfam family "Bacterial small subunit ribosomal RNA", at positions 341 to 792 of the family's 1533-position model. Lineage: Bacteria; Bacillati; Bacillota; Clostridia; Eubacteriales; Oscillospiraceae. The record is from RNAcentral.